UAUCAUAUGACAUACAGUUUGGUCUUUGGUUGGUGGUCGCAUGUCAUCCUAUGUUUAUCUGGAGGGUCCACUGUCUAGUUCUGUUCUGGUCCAGGGAUGGAUAGAUGGAAGGGUAGUUUAGUCCACACAUAGCAUUGUUGGAGACGAGGUUAGGUGGGAGGCGCGCCUGUUAAUCUGUAAUGUCUGAAGGAGGGAGGAGGAUUAGGUGGCUAGGCUCCUGGUCUUUGUCAUCUGUUCCUUAGGAAUAGUAAAUUGUCGAUUUUGCCCUUUACUAAAAUUUUCUUUAUGUUCCCUUUUUGCUCCUCUCUCUUUGGAUGCUAACUCUCCCCACUGUUUCGUUUCCACAGAACGAUCGUCCGCUUCGAACCAGCUUGGUUGGGCUGGUUGGGGGGCAGCCAUGGGAUGCACGGCUUCGGUCUUCGGGAUUCGUUGGGGGCCGUCAAUUUCCAUUUGGGCUGGCGCCUUGCGAAUCUUGCCGUUCGUUUGGUCUUCAUCUCAUCUCAAAAAAAAUAAAGGUUAACAAGCCCUGGAGGAAUACACUUCCAACAAGGCAAAUUUGUGUGUGUGUGUGUGUGUGUGAGAGAGAGAGGCAUACCAGUCAUGAUAAAUACCAAACGAGACCUCUCUCAUAAAUAACACCUAAAGUGUUCUUUGCAAUUGUAGGCACAACAUUCAUAACCCAAGAUUUUCGUGAUUCAAGGGCUGCUGCAAAUCCUCCAAGGCAUGCAUUCAUAUCCAUGACAUUCCGACAUCUGGUAGUGCCAAUCAAGUUGUUGAUUCUUUUAUAAGUAUUUACAUGCUUUUUCCAUUAGCUAUUCGAGGAGGGACUGCAUAAAGCUUUGCAGGAAACUUCAACGCCCCCACUGCUACUUCAUUUGCAUUGGUUACCUCAGGAGAGGGGGCUACGCAUGUGUCCAUUUUCUUGUACCUGAAACAUACCACAUCAAACUAAGAAUUAUGAUUGCUGUAACAAUCUAACUCUAGAACUGGAAUACAUCCUUUCAAAAAUGCCCUUAUCAGAAUUGAAUAGGACAUGCAUGUAUGGAGAAAACAAGAAGAAAAAAGGACGGCCAAAUGAACUUGAGCAAGUGAGAUAGAAAUAGACUGAAACUUCAUCACUGAUCUAAGUGAACCCACCUUGUAUAAUUGCAACAUUUGUAGGAAAUGAAGCCAAUCUUUGCAAUUACUAGAAUCAUAGGAUGACAAAGGAGGAAAAAUAACAUAAAAGCAAAGUAGAAAAGAGAAAGUUCUAAUAAAUGGAAUCUAAAGUUAUACAAUCAUUCUGCUUAUAUCAAUGCAUUUUAGGUAAUUCUGAACUAGGGGACCAACUCAAACAAUGAAAACCUGUCCAACUUCUACUGUCCAGAGAUUUAUAUCUUCUAAGACUCCAUAGCAUUGACUAACAUAAAAUUCAUAAGCACAACAUUUUCUUCUAAUCAAAGUGUGUGCAAGAACACAAUGGGAGGUAGGGGCUUUAUUACCUAGUGUUCCCAAAUAAAACAGAAUUAUUGUCUAGAACAACAUAAUAACUACAGAAGGACAGGGCACAAGAAAAUUCCAGUCUACAAAUAUGAAGUAACGAGUGAUGCAAGAGGUACAAAGAUAUUAACUGAAAACUUUUCACAAACUGGAGGCAUGCAACCAGCACAUCACGUUUACAGAGGGGUGGGAAUGUGGAAUAUGUGCAACAUGCCAAUUCGACUACCAUGUCUGUCUGUAAAACCUAUGUUAUGUUUAACAAUUUCCUAGAUAAGUGGACUGAUUUGCUGGUUGAAACCAUAGUCAGUAACCAAUUCACUACAUUUUUUCUCUUUGAUUACUUCUUGUCUUGAGAAAUAUUGGCAGGGAAAUCCAGCAACAGCUACUUCAUAUUAUAUAAUUUGAGGUAUUCAAAAAGGGUUUCCUUGCAUUAUCCUGUGACCUGUCACCUGCUGCAAAGUCCUGCGCCUCUUUCCCCUAACUGAGUAUGUCUCACUUCCCGAAAAAUCUACCAAACCUCAAGUUAGAGGCAGGGAGACUUUAUCCAGAACCAUGAGAUUAUCUUUAAACAUGAUUAGUGAAUAUUUAAGAACAAUAAACAAGGCUCCUCAGCACAGUUCCUGGAACUCACCAGACAUCAUCAGCAUCCUCUGCCUGGCAUACAUUGACAGACUUGCUUUUGCAGGAUUUUGUAUUAACUUUUUUCUUCCAAAUAGCCAUAUCUCCUUUCUCAUACUUUUUCUCCCAGCAAAGACUUUCAGCUAGUGCUUCAAUCUGUCUUUGCUCUGUCUGGACAUCCUCCUUAGACUACUUCCACGUUUUGUAGCAUGUCUUCCAAUUAAUUGGAGGUCCAGACAAGAUCCAACAUCCACCAGGUCUAAGCACCCAAUCAACUUCUUUUAGGUACAUCCCAUCUACACACAGCCGUUCAAUAUGUGAAUCAUUUAACUUCCAGCACUUAAAGAGAUAUUCAGUAAAUAAGCUAUUCUUGAAUGUCGAAACAUAGAAAACAAAGUUAAAAGAUGGAACUACAAUCAGAAGCCCUCUUUUAUAUCGAAGUCAACAGAUGAGGAUGGAUUGAGGAAGUCAAUAUCAACCAAAAGAAAACUUGGGAAAAUAAAAUUCUAGCACGGUCGGUAACUAAAUUAAUUGCCGGAUAUGUAAGACUUGCAGACAAUUUAUCACCCUUGUAAGACUUAUUUACACUUUUUGGCAUAAAAUCUCAUAGAAAACAUGAAGUUACAUAGAAAAAUAGUCUUCAAAAUGAAAGUGUGCAAAUCAGUAAUCACUUAUACCAAUGGAAAUCAAGUAUAAAUGUUUACCAAACGACUCUAAGCUUAUUUCAGUGGUCAACCUUGAGAGUCGAGGCAAGAUUGUGACAAUUAAUUUGACCAUAUGAUCUGAGUAUGGAAAUAGAUAUAGAUAUGUUUUUCUACUAUCUGUAUUCAACUUAAGAGUUCACUAAUUCAACUCUAAUUAUAUAUAUAUAUAUAUAUAUAUAUAUAUAUAUAUAAUACAGAAACUAAGGAAAUCAAAUGUGAUUGCUCCAUGCUGGUUACAUCAAGAUCUUACCAUUUGCAGUCCAUGGAAUUAAACACCGCGAUAUCAAAGGCCCUAGAUGGGUAUGGGAGACGAAUUGAUCCAAGCACACCGAUAACGGCAGGUACACCUCGCUCCAAUGCAAACUGUAAUUGUGCUUCAUGAUUAUCCCGUGGUGUAAAGGACAUGGCUAAUACAUUUCUCUUUAGCAAGUAUGCACCCCAACUUGCAACCUGUAUCAUGGUUGGUCUCAUUAGUAAAGAACCACAUAUGAACAAAAGAACUGUGUGUGAACAUGUAUCCUAGGAUAGCUCACUGCUCACAUACAUACAUGAUUUAGCUACAUAUAUAUAACACAGUAUCAUUGAAUGUGCAUUUGCAUUCACUAUACGCACAAGCAAAUCUACCUAACAUUCUCUGGAGACUGAAAAGCCAUUGUUGUACUCAUAGUCUUGGAUUGACUAAAGGAAGUUAAGUCGCUCAAAUUAAAUGCAGAUGACAGAAUGGCAAUGUGAAGCAAUGAAUGUACACAUGCAAAUGCAAAAAUAAAAGCACAAGCGUAGUUAAGAAAACCAACAUACACCACAACCAGUAUCCAAUGCUGUCCUGACAGAGCCAUCUGAAAUCGGAAUAACUGAUGCAAGUUCGUCAAUAUUUGCACCAGUGCCUUGGGGGAACAUUGUUCCUCCACCUGGAAAUUUGAAAACAUUUCCCUGAAACUGCACCCAGUUCUGAACAGCUUUCUCAACUGUCAGGCUUUUAUAAGGGACGUUGGCAUAGUGGACAUAGUCACGGCCUUUAGGCCAGGGGAAAAGAGUCAUAUAUCCUUUCCUUUCUGGAAUAAGACAAUGCAAUUUUUCCUCUUCUGGUGGACAAUGCCUUUCCCUGUAUAUCAGAGGGUUCAACUAUCUCCUCAAUAUUGUGAAGUGUUUCAAAGAUCAAAUUAGUAAAGACAUUGCUGCAAUCUGUCUGCUUGGUUACUGGAAAUGCUAUGCUAUCUCCUUUUCCAAAACCACUCUUUUGCCAUGCUCCAAGAAGGUAGAAGAAACAACACAGAGCAAUAACAACGAAUAUGGAUAUCGUGCUUCUUGUUCUGUUUCCGGAAGAAUUAUGCUUAGAUUUCAUGAUAUUGUUGCAAUUAACUCCCUCAACUCUGCACGAAUAAUAGAAAACUUAGAGUCGAUUAUUUGAAGUAAAUGGUCAAUAGUUGAGAACCGAUAGAAUAAGUAUGCUUAAAGAAAAAAAAAAUCAUUAGCACGUUGCAGUCUGUUAUAAAUAAAUAACAUAUCUCAAUAACUUGAUUAAUUGUUCCAAAGUGUGGUUAAUUUCUCCUAGCCAAAUUUGCAGUCUGAUAUACAUCAGAUUUUUAAUCAGCUCGACUUUUGGUAAAUAACCUACCUACAGAGGAUUUUGCACUCAUUCUACUUUCAACCAAUGUUGAAAAUACAAAUUCGCCCUCCAUUUGGAUGAGGGAAAAUAACUUAGAAUUUAGCUAAAAGUCGGGAAUUUAAGAGGAGAAAUUGACAAUUCCCUGUUUGGCAACUUAAGUGCGGAAUUUAUUAAAUGACGUGCGGAAAAAAAUGUCGAAAUUGGGGCAUCAAAUUCCCAAGUUUAAUUUCCACCAAAAUAGGUGUCACUUCACAAUUUCCAUAGUGUCAUUUACAAAAUUCUGUCAUUCACAAAAUUCGACAUACAUAAAUCCAAACACUGAAAUCUUCAAUUGCCAGAAAUUAAAAUUAUAGAAAUCUAAAGUCCGUCAUUUUAUAAUUCUAUGUCAUUUUCAAUUCCUUCAUCCAAACAGAGGGAUCAUCAGAUCAGUACCGAGAAGUAACUAAUUGACACAAAAUUUCGAGGAAGGUAAUAAAAUAAAUCCAGAUGGCAUCACCGUUUCAAGAUUGAGACAUGAGAAACAUGACGGAUUCUGGAUACGGUAAGUUUCUAGAGGCUAUGAACUACGCAUACAUUUAUGGUUAAGGACUUUAAGAAAUAAGCAGCAACUAGAUUUGUUGAAGAGAGAGUGAGUUUGCAAUCACAGAGGAUUAAAUGAACUAAUGAAGGAGUGGAUUAAAUUAAACUUAGAGACUUUCUGAUAUAUCCAUUGUCAUUGCUAUUCCAAAAUAUGGGAUUGGAUUAAAUUAAGGAUUAACAUCACCCGUAGGCAAACGUUACAUUUUUACUAAUCUGUAGCUCUUUUCAUUUUUUUUCUCAGUUGGAUGCAACUUAGAAAGUUAUCAAUCAUCCAUUGCCUUAAAUCAAGCUGCCCGCUUGGAUCCUAAAAUGUUCAAUCCCUUGAUCUGAAGCCAAGAUGUACAAACAAUGAAAUUUAUAACUAAAUCUUAAACCUUUUAAGCCAAAAACAAAAACAAGAUCACAAUCUUUUUUCACACAGCCCAUAAAAGGAAAAGCAAGUGCAAGCACAGAUCUUGUGCUAUUAUACAGUGGGAAGAAAACAAAAAACCAAAAAAAUGACAUUAAAAUGAAGCAAAGAAGAACAAUGCAUAAAGAGAAAAUAGUAAGAGGUGAAAACCGGGAUCAAAUAGCUAACCUGAAAAUGGGAGAGAAUGGUGUGAAAGCUUUAGAGAGAUAAGCCCUCCAGUGGGUAUAUGGUAUUUGAAGUUCUCUCUCCCUCCACUCCCCCCACAGUGCUAGUGACUAGUGAGAGAAUCUGCGAAGCAGAGAGAGAGAGAGAGAGAGAGAGAGAGAGAGUGUUUGAAAUCACAGUGAAUGAGUGAGUGAGUGGGAGAGAAUUUAUGUAGAGCAGAUAGAGGUAUAUAGGAAGAGAGAGAGGCGGUGGAGGCAAUGUAGAAAUUUGAUGACUUUGGUCUUCAACUCUGCUUUGGAAACUCACUUGGUUGAAUUUGAGUUAUCCGCCGACAGAGCAAUUAUGCGCUACUCUCUGGAGCAUGCAAUGAGCUGUAGCCCUUCCGAGGACAAUUCAAAUCCCAAAAUGAAACUACAUAAAAGAGGUAUCUAUAUAAAUUACCAUGCGACUUGUAGUCAGGGUGGAACCAAAAACUUUCGUACGGGUGAGGUAUAAAUGUUUCUUUUUCGGUUUAAGUAGAUGCAAGGGUUGGAAUGAAGUGAGCUAAUUUUCACUAAAUAUACUAAAUUUUCUAAAAGUAACACUAAUGUUUACUAAUCUGUUAGGAGGAAUUGAAUUGAGGAGGUGUUGGAUUGAAGAGAAUUAGAUUCCGGAUUCUAAAUUUAUGCCAACAGAGUCAAAACCUCUGCAGAGAAGGAGAAAGAAUUUAAGUCACCUGCACAGCAGAGCCAAUAAGACUUAGAUCCCCUUCCAAUAGACAUCAAAGUAGAGGAAUCCCUUUCCACCACCCAAUACCAUAUAUAUAAACACCUGUUCAAACUCUUUUGAACAAUGAACAUCUGAAAACUGCUCAUAUUUUGAUGUUUUAUAGCUGCUUAAUUUAUUAAAAUAUGCCCAAUAUUUUUAAAUAACAAGCAGCACAUAAAACAUGUUAGUUUAUUUUUUGUAAUUUAAGCUUGCUAAACUAAGCAUGAUUCUACUAUUUAGAUCUCCAUGGUUUUAUAAAUGGUAUUAUCUUCCUUGCAUAUUUUCAGGAUUUUAUACAAAUUUCUUUACAAUUUCAAAACUCGCAGCAUUGCACAGGCACCAUUGCUAGUUAUAAUGCUAAAAUCAAAGUGUCUUUAAUUUCUCCAUUGGUUCAAUAACAAAAAGAGUUGAACAUGAAUAGGGUACAACAAAACUUAUAAUUUGGCAUACUUCUUUACAGCAUCACCGGCAUCUUUUGCAUGCUCUGGCACAGGCAUGUUGCAUAAAAGAGUAACUCUGGAUGAUGAUACUAUGGAUUUGAUGUCUGAGUUUGAAGGAUUAAUCUUCCACAGUCUCACCUCCCAAACCUGCCCAAAAUUGGCAAAUCAAAACAACUUUGAAUGAUAUAAUCUGUUUAUUGAAUAUAUUAAGUAAAUGAAAUGAUAAAUAGAUGAAAGAUUAAAAUAUAAAAAACCAAUGUGGAGGGCAUUGGCAUUCACAUUUCCCCAGUAUGAAAUGGUGGCGGGAUAGUCUGGAUGCUGCCAACAUGAUUAUUAUAUUUCCAGUAGGAAAUUGUCUGUAAAUGGAGUGAUGGAAAGAAUGAGAUGGAAAAUUUUGACCCUAUAUGGAUAAUGUUGUAGAGAAGGUAAAACCGUAUACAAUUUCUAAAUGUCAUUUGUUUCUUGGACACCUACACUACAACUAUUGUUGUAUUAGCAGUUGUAAUUACUGUUAAUUGGAAGUGAUACUUGAUGAUGAAGUGAUGUAGGAUAUGGGUGAAUUGAGAAUUUAGGUAGUUUAGCGGAAGCAAAAACAGUGAAAAACAGAAAAUAGAACAAAAGGGAUAGGUCUGGAAUCUCUCCAAGAAUUUGGCUCCACACCAAGUAGUCUUCACUGGAAAAUAAACUUUACUCAAUAUUCAAAUCUCAACUCCCAUAAUGAAUUACAGAAGGGGUAUUUAUCAUAGUAAACUUAUUUUAGGAAAGAAAUCCUAAUCCAAAUAAAAUAGCAAACUUAGAAAUCCUACUCAAAUCUAAAAAAACUAAAAAUCAUGAAUCUAGAAAACUUAGAGAACCUACGAACUAACAAAUAAAUUAGGAAACUAAUUAAUAAUUCCCUCUUCCAUCUCUUUCGUUUGUAAACCCGAAUGGUUGACAAAGAUGUCCUCAUCAUGAAGACUGGAGAGGACUAGAAGCCUGGGAGAUGGAUUAUAAUUAAGAAGACAAGGAGGAUAGGAAUGCGACGGUGAAGAGCAGAGGAACCUGAAUGGUUUUGCCAAGAUUGACAGGCGUGGCUUCAGCGAAGAUACGGUCACCAAGCUCAGCACGCUUCAAAUGGUUGAUGCUGAGGUGAAUCCCAGCCACCCUUUGAAAACCAGAGGCCAGGUGGGCUCCUAUGCUAGCCAGAGACUCAGCUAUGAGAGCUGAUACCCCUCCAUGCAACACCUUGAAAGGCUGGUCUCAGCAGCAAAGAACAGUUAGUCAUAUUACUUAUUUCAUUAACAUCUUCUUUUACACUUUCAGCAGGAAAAAGAUUUAUCAUAUGAACAAACAAACAAAGAUAGAAAGAAAGAAAGAAGAUGAUGACCUGACAGCACUUUUGGGUGACAUGGAGGUGACCGGAGACCUUUUUUGGGGUUACCUCUUCAAUCUCGAACCCAAUUUCAUGAAGGGGAACAUCCAAAGCCUCCGUCUUUGACCGCGGUGAUGGUGGUGGUGGUGCUGAUGAUGGCUUGGAUUGGGACCGGGAAGCCAUAUCUAUAUCAAUAUAAAUAUAUAUAUAUCAGUGUUUAUGUUGUUAUAAUUGUGGUAUAUAUCUAUGCUCUUAGUUUCCUUCUCUGGCCUUUGGUGGUUUCCUCUGUUGUAUAGAUGAUAGAACCAACGCAAUUCAAUUCCCGUUCAUUGUUGGCUGUUGUUUGUUUGGCUUUUCCUGGAUGAGAGUGGGUGGGAAGACUUAUUGCAUUGGAGAUGAUGAAUAUCAUAUGACAUACAGUUUGGUCUUUGGUUGGUGGUGGCCUGUCAUCCUUUGUUCAUCUGUUCUGGUCCAGAGAUGGAUAGAUGGAAGGGUAGUUUAGUCCACACAUAGCAUUGUUGGAGACGAGGUUAGGUGGGAGGAGCGCCUGUUAAUCUGUGAUGUCUAAAGGAGGGAGGAGGAUUAGGUGGCUAGGCU
RNAcentral lists this long non-coding RNA (8695 nucleotides) under Prunus persica (peach). RNAcentral's name for it is "long non-coding RNA (PPER_LNC005148)". Lineage: Eukaryota; Viridiplantae; Streptophyta; Magnoliopsida; Rosales; Rosaceae. The record is from RNAcentral.